AAGAUCAUACUUCACAGGAUCAUUUCUGUAGUAUGCAUCGUCCCCUCCAGGUGCAAAUCUGGAGUCGUCGUAAGCCACGAUGAUGAGACUAGUUCUAUUACCAGAGCGUGAGAUCACCUAUAUUGACGUGCUUCUGCAAAGUUCAAUUAGGUAACGAUGAUCGCAACCAAGACUUCUUGGAAGGUAAACGAACAGUCUGAGUGGU
Molecule: small nucleolar RNA, 205 nt
Organism: Daktulosphaira vitifoliae (grape phylloxera)
Lineage: Eukaryota; Metazoa; Arthropoda; Insecta; Hemiptera; Phylloxeridae
Product: small nucleolar RNA U3
Exons: 1
Source: RefSeq, a predicted model, not a curated record